Molecule: non-coding RNA, 1090 nt
Organism: Cajanus cajan (pigeon pea)
Lineage: Eukaryota; Viridiplantae; Streptophyta; Magnoliopsida; Fabales; Fabaceae
Source: RefSeq, a predicted model, not a curated record
AUGAUCUGGAAAGUUUGGAGGUUAAACUUCAAGAACUUGAAGCUGAGCUACUUGAGAUUAACGCAAAUAAUGAGAAGUUGCAACACACUUACAAUGAGCUGUUAGAGUAUAAGCUUGUUGUAGAGAAGGUUGGUGAGUUUUUCUCUUCAGCAAGAAGUAAUGCUGUAGCUCACCAGAGGGACCUUGAAGUCUAUGCAGGUGCUGAAGGGUCUCUUGACAGCCCAUUAUUAUUGGAACAAGAGGAGACAACAACAAAGCAAGUUAAGCUGGGGUUUAUAUGUGGACUUGUUCCUAGGGAAAAAUCAAUUCCUUUUGAAAGAAUUAUAUUUCGUGCUACUAGGGGAAAUGUGUUUCUCAAACAGACUGUGGUUGAACAUCCUGUUCUUGAUCCUUUGUCAGGAGAGAAGGUUCAUAAAAAUGUAUUUGUUGUCUUUUAUUCUGGAGAGAGAGUUAAAAGUAAAAUUCUGAAAAUAUGUGAUGCUUUUGGAGCAAAUCGUUAUCCUUUCUCAGAUGACUUGAGUAAACAAUUUCAGACGAUAACAGAGGUAUACGUAAUUUUUUCUUAAUGUUUGUGCAUAGCUUUCAAUUGUCGUUAAGUGUUAAACUAAAUGCUUCAGAUGCUGUAUCUUUAAAUUUUUUUUGUCAAAUAUUAAUAAGAUCAACUACAUAUUUAUUAUGUAGUUUGGGUAUUUCAAUGUUUUACAUCUUUAAUCUUCUCUCUAACUUUUCGUACAGCUAUUGUUCAGUUAUGUUUUUCUGAUAACAUGUGUUGUUUUUCUUCAAUAGCCUUUAUUAAACUGUAAAUUUCAGUGAUCUCGAUCAACCUUCUUGUUGUUGUUUAGUUGUUAAUUGUUUUUGCUUUUAUUUUUCUUAUCAAGUUCAAUAGUGUUUAUGCUAUGACUAAAGUGAACCAUUUUAUGAAAGUGCUGUUGCACGUUUGGAUGGGAUCAUUUAAACAACAAACCAUUAAUUUAGUCGUUUAAUUAUUUUUUCAAACUCCAAAAUAGUUUUUUAUUUUUAUUUUUUUCACGGGGAAUCAUAAUAGUGUUGCAUACUAUUCCAACUAAAUUCAAAUAAUUGAUCCAAUAUU